GGGCUAAUAGCUCAUUUGGUAGAGCGUUCGCUUUGCAUCACGUCGCCUCCUUGGUUUCUCGUGUCCUCAUCUGCGAAAGGUACAGGGUUCGACUCCCUGUUAGUCCA
Molecule: non-coding RNA, 107 nt
Organism: Microdochium trichocladiopsis
Lineage: Eukaryota; Fungi; Ascomycota; Sordariomycetes; Xylariales; Microdochiaceae
Source: the annotation of a RefSeq genome assembly